UUAAUUGGACCGAUGUAACUGCGUGUCUGACCAGUUAGAAAGUGAAAUUGAUACCUCUGUUGUCGUGGAACGAAGCUGAAGAUUCACGAGAUGAAAUUGCGUCAUCGAGGAUUUUAACCCUCGCGACCCGAUUCUGCAUUUAUAGUGCGUUUUCUCCAUGUGAUCAACGUGAAAUCAAAUAUUUGGUGUUUGGUGUAUUACAUUGCACAAAAUAUUUGCAGUUUGCACAUUCUUUUCCACAGCACGUAACUGAAGCAACAAAUACAAUGAUGCAAUUCUCGGUACAUUUUAUAACCGUCGUAAAUCAUUGCUCUUGAGAAUGUUGGAUGAAAGCUAUCUUAAACAAGGAUGAAAAGUAUAACAAGUAAACUGAAGUUCUUCGUUGUUGACGAAUAAUCAGUACUUAUUAUAAAGUAUAGAAAUAAUUAUUUAUAUAAAAAGAUAAAAUUACAUAGGCAAAUAUACAUAAAUAUCUCGAAUCAACGUAACUCUUGUCAGAAAAAAAUGCAUCAACGAAUCGAAUACUUGUCGUCCAUUGAUGAAGUAAACCGCUAGAUUGAUCUGCAACAGUCAAUAUUUCCAGUACACAAGAUAAAGAACAUUUUUAGAUGCAGACGCAGUGGCCGUUGGCGAGAAAUGUUCUGGAAAGUUUAUCACGAGAGUUUUACUCUCAAAUACACAGCGUUGUUUAACAGUUACAUCAUACGAUCUUCGAGCUGUCGAUCAAGCACGGGGAGGUUGACGCUGCGUUUCAAAGCAGGUCGAAGUAUAUAGAGCGAUGGUGUAAAAAUCCGCGGAAACGAGGAAAAAAUUUCCAACAAACGAGCAAAUCACCACUUAUCUCGUCGAGACGAUAUUUUAAACUCGGAUGCUUACCGACGGUUUAGCGAGAUUCACACUUCCUCUUAAUCCACGUUUAUUCCAAUUAUCAGGCGUAAAGAUGAACUAAAACUCUUUACGAGAACAAAUCUUCUUCCUUCAGUACUCCGUGAUUCCACCAGUGAAAGGCAUUGUGUGAAAUCUAACGAUGGUUUACGAAGAAAUAAAUUUAAAGAUCCUCCAGAGAUUGAAUUUGCAAGCAAUUAAAGCGAUAAUAUUUUAAUUUCACUGACAAUUAUUUGAUUUUCCCUUUCUUUCAAUUAUUUCAAGAAAUAUCAUAGAAUAGUACGAUACUUUCUGGAUAUUAUGGUAUAAAAUAUGCUCGAUUAGAAAAUAUCCAUUGUAUAUUAAUAAUAUAGAAAGUAGAAUAAGAGAUGAAAACGCGUGUUAUGAUGGAAAAAUCGAGCGCUGGUCGAUCGAUCGACGAACGUUAGUCU
This 1316-nucleotide unclassified non-coding RNA is filed under the name Bombus terrestris (buff-tailed bumblebee). RNAcentral describes it as "misc RNA ENSBTSG00005021404.1". The record is from RNAcentral. Lineage: Eukaryota; Metazoa; Arthropoda; Insecta; Hymenoptera; Apidae.